RNAcentral lists this ribosomal RNA (449 nucleotides) under uncultured bacterium. RNAcentral's name for it is "partial 16S ribosomal RNA". It matches the Rfam family "Bacterial small subunit ribosomal RNA", at positions 29 to 523 of the family's 1533-position model. The record is from RNAcentral.
AACGAACGCUGGCGGCAUGCCUAACACAUGCAAGUCGAACGAAGCCUUCGGGCUUAGUGGCGCACGGGUGCGUAACGCGUGGGAAUCUGUCCUUGGGUUCGGAAUAACAGUUAGAAAUGACUGCUAAUACCGGAUGAUGUCUUCGGACCAAAGAUUUAUCGCCCAAGGAUGAGCCCGCGUAGGAUUAGGUAGUUGGUGGGGUAAUGGCCCACCAAGCCGACGAUCCUUAGCUGGUCUGAGAGGAUGAUCAGCUACACUGGGACUGAGACACGGCCCAGACUCCUACGGGAGGCAGCAGUGGGGAAUAUUGGACAAUGGGCGAAAGCCUGAUCCAGCAAUGCCGCGUGAGUGAUGAAGGCCUUAGGGUUGUAAAGCUCUUUUACCAGGGAUGAUAAUGACAGUACCUGGAGAAUAAGCUCCGGCUAACUCCGUGCCAGCCGCCGCGGUAA